Molecule: non-coding RNA, 30 nt
Filed under: Rattus norvegicus (Norway rat)
Lineage: Eukaryota; Metazoa; Chordata; Mammalia; Rodentia; Muridae
Source: RNAcentral
GGCAGAGGCAGGUGGAGCUCCUGAGUUUGA